GAUGAACGCUAGCGGCAGGCCUAAUACAUGCAAGUCGAGGGGCAGCGGGGUAGCAAUACUGCCGGCGACCGGCGCACGGGUGCGUAACACGUAUGCAACCUACCUUAAACUGGGAGAUAGCCCGGGGAAACUCGGAUUAAUACCCCAUAAUACAUUGGUUCACAUGAAUUGAUUGUUAAAGAUUUAUCGGUUUAAGAUGGGCACGCGUUCGAUUAGCUAGUUGGUAAGGUAACGGCUUACCAAGGCUACGAUCGAUAGGGGGUCUGAGAGGAUGAUCCCCCACACUGGUACUGAGAUACGGACCAGACUCCUACGGGAGGCAGCAGUAGGGAAUAUUGGUCAAUGGAGGCAACUCUGAACCAGCCAUGCCGCGUGUAGGAAGAAGGCGUUCUGCGUUGUAAACUACUUUUGAUUGGGAAGAACAUACAGUUUGCGAACUGUACUGACGGUACUAUUAGAAUAAGCACCGGCUAACUCCGUGCCAGCCGCCGCGGUAA
This 497-nucleotide ribosomal RNA is filed under the name uncultured bacterium. Its description in RNAcentral is "partial 16S ribosomal RNA". It matches the Rfam family "Bacterial small subunit ribosomal RNA", at positions 28 to 523 of the family's 1533-position model. The record is from RNAcentral.